This 253-nucleotide ribosomal RNA is filed under the name uncultured bacterium. RNAcentral describes it as "partial 16S ribosomal RNA". It matches the Rfam family "Bacterial small subunit ribosomal RNA", at positions 524 to 776 of the family's 1533-position model. The record is from RNAcentral.
UACGUAGGGUGCGAGCGUUAAUCGGAAUUACUGGGCGUAAAGCGUGCGCAGGCGGUUUUGUAAGACAGGUGUGAAAUCCCCGGGCUCAACCUGGGAACUGCGCUUGUGACUGCAAGACUCGAGUACGGCAGAGGGGGGUGGAAUUCCACGUGUAGCAGUGAAAUGCGUAGAGAUGUGGAGGAACACCGAUGGCGAAGGCAGCCCCCUGGGUCGAUACUGACGCUCAUGCACGAAAGCGUGGGGAGCAAACAGG